Long non-coding RNA from Hibiscus syriacus, 300 nucleotides. RefSeq lists it as uncharacterized. The record is from RefSeq and is a predicted model, not a curated record. The transcript has 4 exons. Lineage: Eukaryota; Viridiplantae; Streptophyta; Magnoliopsida; Malvales; Malvaceae.
AUUUCUCUGAGGACGAGAAAAGAAGAUCAACGCGAGGGACAUCUCUGAAGAAGAAAGCGAAGACUACUUCGACAAAACUGACGCAUGAAUUUUAUCUACUAAGGUUGCAAGUACUGAAAUAUCUUAUGCUUCCAAUGUAAGGCCGGAUACUUCUGAUUUCAUGCAGUUAGUCUCACUUUCUGACAAAGGAAGGAUGAGUGCUCUUAAUUCAAUGCAUGGCAUUAUUCAACCAGAAAAUACUGCAAGAACUGAAGAAGCCAAUUCAACAAAUGAUGCAACCAGUGGUGCUACUCCAAGAAA